RNAcentral lists this ribosomal RNA (464 nucleotides) under uncultured bacterium. RNAcentral's name for it is "partial 16S ribosomal RNA". It matches the Rfam family "Bacterial small subunit ribosomal RNA", at positions 28 to 507 of the family's 1533-position model. The record is from RNAcentral.
GACGAACGCUGGCGGCGUGCUUAACACAUGCAAGUCGAACGGAAAGGCCCCUUUGGGGGUACUCGAGUGGCGAACGGGUGAGUAACACGUGAGUAACCUGCCCUUGACUUCGGGAUAACUUCAGGAAACUGGGGCUAAUACCGGAUAGGAAUCCUUGCUGCAUGGUGGGGGUUGGAAAGCUUCGGCGGUUUUGGAUGGACUCGCGGCUUAUCAGCUUGUUGGUGGGGUAGUGGCUUACCAAGGCUUUGACGGGUAGCCGGCCUGAGAGGGCGACCGGCACAUUGGGACUGAGAUACGGCCCAGACUCCUACGGGAGGCAGCAGUGGGGAAUAUUGCACAAUGGGCGGAAGCCUGAUGCAGCAACGCCGCGUGCGGGAUGACGGCCUUCGGGUUGUAAACCGCUUUCAGCAGGGGCGAAGUUUGUGGUGACGGUACCUGCAGAAGAAGCACCGGCUAACUACGUG